This 71-nucleotide transfer RNA is filed under the name Chloroflexota bacterium. RNAcentral describes it as "Chloroflexi bacterium tRNA-Gly". It matches the Rfam family "tRNA". Rfam says of the family: Transfer RNA (tRNA) molecules are approximately 80 nucleotides in length. Lineage: Bacteria; Bacillati; Chloroflexota. The record is from RNAcentral. RNAcentral also lists the same sequence under 1 other name.
GCGGGUAUAGCAUAGUGGUAGUGCGGGUGCUUCCCAAGCACUUGGCGAGGGUUCGAUUCCCUCUACCCGCU